CAGUCGCCGCGGGAAUACGUAGGGUGCAAGCGUUAAUCGGAAUUACUGGGCGUAAAGCGUGCGCAGGCGGUUUGUUAAGACAGAUGUGAAAUCCCCGGGCUCAACCUGGGAACUGCAUUUGUGACUGGCAAGCUAGAGUCUGGCAGAGGGGGGUGGAAUUCCGCGUGUAGCAGUGAAAUGCGUAGAUAUGCGGAGGAACACCGAUGGCGAAGGCAGCCCCCUGGGCCAACACUGACGCUCAUGCACGAAAGCGUGGGGAGCAAACAGGAUUAGAUACCCCGGUAGUCCCUGUCUCUUAUAA
This 301-nucleotide ribosomal RNA is filed under the name uncultured bacterium. Its description in RNAcentral is "partial 16S ribosomal RNA". It matches the Rfam family "Bacterial small subunit ribosomal RNA", at positions 509 to 809 of the family's 1533-position model. The record is from RNAcentral.